CCAGGCUGCUUUAAAGGAGCACAGAAUGUCGAAAUGAGAAGCUGCUGACUGAACAAGUCAAAGGGUUCCACUUUCCACCUGUGCCGAGACCCUGUGCUCUCCAGGAAACAAUCUCUCGGCUGUGAAUAAAGACAGGCUGGUGUGGACGUCCCUCAAUGCAGGCAGCUGCCUAUAAACAGAUCGCCCUCCGAAUCCAGAGACCCCAUGUUACCCCGACCUGUGGGAGCAAAGUCUGUGUAAAAAUGCUGCCAACAAGAAGUCUCAGGUCCCAUGAAUUAUAGACAGGUGGCUUGAGUACCAAGUAAAGAGUUAGAUGCCUUUGGAGCAUCCUUUCAGAUCAAAGAUCCUGUAAUCCUGAGGAUUCAAAGGAGCAUAGCUUACUUUCCAAACUUAGCCUGUCCUUCAGAGCGUGGUCCAAACGCCUCGUCUUCCUGUGAGGAUCCCUGAUCCAUCCCAGGUGGGAGAGACUCUUCUCCCCUCUGAAAGCUCAUAACACUUUGUCCCUUUAAAGAAAAAAAUAAAGCAUCUGCACCUUUCCUCAGUGGCACUAA
Molecule: long non-coding RNA, 551 nt
Organism: Neofelis nebulosa (Clouded leopard)
Lineage: Eukaryota; Metazoa; Chordata; Mammalia; Carnivora; Felidae
Exons: 2
Source: RefSeq, a predicted model, not a curated record